RNAcentral lists this non-coding RNA (219 nucleotides) under Clostridium botulinum. Its description in RNAcentral is "T-box sequence". It matches the Rfam family "T-box leader". From Rfam's summary of the family: Uncharged tRNA acts as the effector for transcription antitermination of genes in the T-box leader family. T-boxes are found upstream of many aminoacyl-tRNA synthetase genes and some amino acid biosynthetic genes usually in Gram-positive bacteria. The record is from RNAcentral. Lineage: Bacteria; Bacillati; Bacillota; Clostridia; Eubacteriales; Clostridiaceae.
UAUUUUGCUGUGAAUAGAAGUAGUAGUAAUAAACUGUAUCUUUUAGAGAGCUAUUGUUAGGUGUAAAAUAGUGUUACAUUGUUAUGAACUUGUCUAGGAGCUUACUUGUUAAAAACAAGUACGGGUAAAUAUCCGUUAAAAAUAUCAAGCGAGAAGAUUAAAUUAUAUUUUUUUCUUCUAAUAAGAGUGGUACCGCGGAAUUUUGCUUUCGUCUCUUAA